GACGAACGCUGGCGGCGUGCUUAACACAUGCAAGUCGAACGGUGAACGAGGGAGCUUGCUCCUUCCGGAUCAGUGGCGAACGGGUGAGUAACACGUGAGCAAUCUGCCCCGAACUCUGGGAUAAGCGUUGGAAACGACGUCUAAUACCGGAUACGACGCGGGAGGGCAUCCUCUCCGCGUGGAAAGAACUUCGGUUCGGGAUGAGCUCGCGGCCUAUCAGCUUGUUGGUGAGGUAACGGCUCACCAAGGCGACGACGGGUAGCCGGCCUGAGAGGGUGGCCGGCCACACUGGGACUGAGACACGGCCCAGACUCCUACGGGAGGCAGCAGUGGGGAAUAUUGCACAGUGGGCGCAAGCCUGAUGCAGCAACGCCGCGUGAGGGACGACGGCCUUCGGGUUGUAAACCUCUUUUAGCAGGGAAGAAGCGAAAGUGACGGUACCUGCAGAAAAAGCACCGGCUAACUACGUG
RNAcentral lists this ribosomal RNA (470 nucleotides) under uncultured bacterium. RNAcentral describes it as "partial 16S ribosomal RNA". It matches the Rfam family "Bacterial small subunit ribosomal RNA", at positions 28 to 507 of the family's 1533-position model. The record is from RNAcentral.